GCGGGAAUCAAGGUAAUCUAUUGUGCACAGCGGUUACUUAAAUUAUACAUAAAUUAAAGUGAGGCUUAUACCUCAAACUACGAAGUUAUAAUCAGAAAAUAUCAUUACAAACUAGCGAUUUUGUAUAUAUAUGUUCGUCUAUGCCUUGCAUUUUUAUGUGUAAUGACAUAAUAGUUGUUAAUAGCUUUGGCAAAAGUGAUCAUUUGGGGUUUAUUAUAUUAGAAGUCAAAUAGCAAACUGAUAAAAAAAAAACAUCUAAAUUUCGGUAAACACAAGCAGAACAAGACAAGAUAGCGUGUGUGUAAAUGGAGGUGGCCUUUUGAACAGAGUGGAAUAGAGAGAACACUGAAAUAAAAAAUAGAGUAGGUGAGGAAAAUGAGCCAGACAAAAUAAUACUUAAGUAUAUUAUUUUAACUUUGAGGAGAAAAAACAAGUCUGAAACCUGACACAUACAUCAAUAGACCUUUCCUUCUUGAAGUAAGAAAUGGAGGAAAAUUGA
This 499-nucleotide long non-coding RNA is filed under the name Brassica napus (rape). RNAcentral describes it as "long non-coding RNA (BNAP_LNC010398)". Lineage: Eukaryota; Viridiplantae; Streptophyta; Magnoliopsida; Brassicales; Brassicaceae. The record is from RNAcentral.